CGCGUAGGUGGUUUGUUAAGUUGGAUGUGAAAGCCCCGGGCUCAACCUGGGAACUGCAUCCAAAACUGGCAAGCUAGAGUACGGUAGAGGGUGGUGGAAUUUCCUGUGUAGCGGUGAAAUGCGUAGAUAUAGGAAGGAACACCAGUGGCGAAGGCGACCACCUGGGCUAAUACUGACACUGAGGUGCGAAAGCGUGGGGAGCAAACAA
This 208-nucleotide ribosomal RNA is filed under the name uncultured bacterium. RNAcentral's name for it is "partial 16S ribosomal RNA". It matches the Rfam family "Bacterial small subunit ribosomal RNA", at positions 568 to 775 of the family's 1533-position model. The record is from RNAcentral.